GACGAACGCUGGCGGCGUGCCUAAUACAUGCAAGUCGAACGCACAGUUUAUACCGUAGCUUGCUCCACCAUAGACUGUGAGUUGCGAACGGGUGAGUAACGCGUAGGUAACCUGCCUGGUAGCGGGGGAUAACUAUUGGAAACGAUAGCUAAUACCGCAUAAUAUUGAUUAUUGCAUGAUAAUUGAUUGAAAGAUGCUAUUGCAUCACUACCAGAUGGACCUGCGUUGUAUUAGCUAGUAGGUGAGGUAACGGCUCACCUAGGCGACGAUACAUAGCCGACCUGAGAGGGUGAUCGGCCACACUGGGACUGAGACACGGCCCAGACGCCUACGGGAGGCAGCAGUAGGGAAUCUUCGGCAAUGGACGAAAGUCUGACCGAGCAACGCCGCGUGAGUGAAGAAGGUUUUCGGAUCGUAAAGCUCGGUUGUAAGAGAAGAACGGGUGUGAGAGUGGAAAGUUCACACUGUGACGGUAGCUGACCAGAAAGGGACGGCUAACUACGUG
Molecule: ribosomal RNA, 505 nt
Filed under: uncultured bacterium
Lineage: Bacteria
Description: partial 16S ribosomal RNA
Rfam family: Bacterial small subunit ribosomal RNA
Source: RNAcentral